CCUCUUUCUAGGUCGCACCUGAAAAGUUUCCAGAACUCUACCAGUCUUGACUAUGGGAGGGAGAGUCAAGCAGAGGCAUAUCCAUUCCAUUCCUAGCUUGGGCAGUGGCUAGCAAGUGGAAGGCAAUCUGCUACAAGU
This 138-nucleotide small nucleolar RNA is filed under the name Ornithorhynchus anatinus (platypus). The record is from RNAcentral. Lineage: Eukaryota; Metazoa; Chordata; Mammalia; Monotremata; Ornithorhynchidae.